Long non-coding RNA from Mirounga angustirostris (Northern elephant seal), 1302 nucleotides. RefSeq lists it as uncharacterized. The transcript is spliced from 3 exons. The record is from RefSeq and is a predicted model, not a curated record. NCBI's taxonomy places the organism in Eukaryota, Metazoa, Chordata, Mammalia, Carnivora, Phocidae.
CCUGCCAGCUCCUCUGGUCCACAGAUGUCUCAGGACGCAGCCCCGCCCUUUCUCGGUUGCCGAAGUGGGGUUUGCAAACGAUCCGGCACACCAGACUUGUAGCCGACCUUAAGGUGGACUUCCACAGAAGGAACCAAAGAAACCUGCAGGCUCUGUCUAUUCACCCAGGCAUCGCUUUCCUGGUGGUGGAAUGAAACCAGCUUCUUUGUGGGAUGGAGCGAUCACUGGAUGCCAGCAACACUACCCUACAACGUGUAGAGGAGGAAAUGCAGGCUAGCUCAUCCGAAGGAAGCUACAGGGGAAUUUUAGAUCAGCAGAAUGCAAUUAUCCAAGUUGGAAUUGUUCCAGGACACCAAAAGCGAACUUUAAAGGUUUCAAUAGCCACAAACGUCUCUUAGCAUUUCCCUCCCUUAGGAAGACAAUAUCAGACGGCUGGCAUUGAUUUCUUAAAAUUAUACUGGCAAAAAGAUAAACAAAGCUCAAGAUAAAGAAAUACAUUUUACACUAAAAAAAAAAAAAAAAGGAAAAAGAAAGAAAAAAACCACACUGAAACCAAAUCCUCAUAUUUCUUGGCUCACGGUAGCAGGCUGACUAGUUACCCAAAAUGAGCUUACUGCAAAAUCACUCUGUUCUCACCACAGGCACAAUUUACCAACUGGGUGCAACAGACACCGGGCUGGCUCCUGAACUUCUCUCCUCCAAUUAAGCUGCACAACCUGUUACCAUUUUGCCAAUGGACUCUAUUUACUUAGGUUCUGCAUAACUUGCCAAGUGCUCACUCUGUGGAAUUCCCAGCAAAGAGAAAGGAACAAUUGGGGGAAAUUUUUGUUAACAUCCUUUCUUUUAACUUUCCCUAGCAGAGGGGAAUGCAUCAACGUGGAGCAGAUGUGCUGAGACCAAAUGCUCUCUUCCUCAUGAUUACGGUUGGUUAUACCUGUGGAUAGGCGAGCUAAUUCCGCCGCAAAUGUGCAAGAGAGGGUAGUACUAACGUACAAUGUGUGGUCCUGGAGGCUUUGUUCCCACGUAAUAGGGUGCUUCGUUUCACGAGACCUGGCACGUUGAGAAGAAAACUGAAGCAAAACAGCCCUGUGCCGUUGGAAUCAUGAGCUAUCUCCGUGAGGCUUAGAGAGUGCCCAAGUUCUCGGCGAUGUUGACAUAAAUAUCAUGGAAUUUAUUAUUUGGAGUUGGAAAAUAAUGAUUCUUUCUGCUUAAUGUGCUCAGCGACUCUGCACCCGAUUGUUUUCUGCCAUUUGAGAAUGCCCGAGGAUGUCAUUAAAACUACGUGUAUCAAUAUUAAACCUU